GACGAACGCUGGCGGCGUGCUUAACACAUGCAAGUCGAACGGAAAGGCCCCUUUGGGGGUACUCGAGUGGCGAACGGGUGAGUAACACGUGAGUAACCUGCGCUUGACUUCGGGAUAACUUCGGGAAACUGGGGCUAAUACCGGAUAGGAAUCCUUGCUGCAUGGUGGGGGUUGGAAAGCUUGGGCGGUUUUGUGUGGACUCGCGGCUUAUCAGCUUGUUGGUGGGGUAGUGGCUUACCAAGGCUUUGACGGGUAGCCGGACUGAGAGGGCGACCGGCCACAUUGAGACUGGGACACGGCCCAGACUCCGACGGGAGGCAGAAGUGGGGAAUAUUGCACAAGGGGAGGAAGCCUGAUGCAGAAACGCCGCGGGCGGGAUGACGGCGUUGGGGUUGUAGACCGCUUUCAGCAGGAGCGAAGCUUGUGGUGACGGUACCUGCAGAAGAAGCACCGGCUAACUACGUG
Molecule: ribosomal RNA, 465 nt
Filed under: uncultured bacterium
Lineage: Bacteria
Description: partial 16S ribosomal RNA
Rfam family: Bacterial small subunit ribosomal RNA
Source: RNAcentral